GACGAACGCUGGCGGCGUGGAUUAGGCAUGCAAGUCGAACGGUAUCAUCCUUUCGGGGGUGAGAGAGUGGCGAACUGGUGAGUAACACGUAGGUUAUCUACCCUCAAGACGGGGACAACCCAGGGAAACUUGGGCUAAUACCGGAUGUGAGCAACUUUUAGUUGUUUGAAAGGUGGCGUAAGCUGUCGCUUGGGGAUGAGCCUGCGUCCUAUUAGUUAGUUGGUGAGGUAACGGCUCACCUAGGCAAUGAUAGGUAGGCGGCCUUAACGGGUGGUCGCCCACACUGGGAUUGAGAUACGGCCCAGACUCCUACGGGAGGCAGCAGUCGAGAAUAGUCUACAAUGGUCGGAAGACUGAUAGUGCGACGCCGCGUGAACGAUGAAUCCCUUCGGGGUGUAAAGUUCUUUUAUAUGUGAGCAGUGCUUCUUAUAUUAACAGUAUGGGGAGAGAGAUAUUAGCAAUAUGAAUAAGCAACGGCUAACUCCGUGCCAGCAGCCGCGGUAAGCU
RNAcentral lists this ribosomal RNA (507 nucleotides) under uncultured bacterium. Its description in RNAcentral is "bacterial SSU rRNA". It matches the Rfam family "Bacterial small subunit ribosomal RNA", at positions 28 to 526 of the family's 1533-position model. The record is from RNAcentral.